CCUACGGGGGGCUGCAGUGGGGAAUUUUGGACAAUGGGGGCAACCCUGAUCCAGCCAUGCCGCGUGAGUGAAGAAGGCCUUCGGGUUGUAAAGCUCUUUCGGCCGGGAAGAAAUCGCUCAAGCUAAUACCUUGGGUGGAUGACGGUACCGGAUGAAGAAGCACCGGCUAACUACGUGCCAGCAGCCGCGGUAAUACGUAGGGUGCGAGCGUUAAUCGGAAUUACUGGGCGUAAAGCCUUAACACAGGUCGGCAAUCCCCGGGCUUAACCUGGGAACUGCGUUUGGGACUGUGGUGCUCGAGUGAGGCAGAGGGGGGUGGAAUUCCACGUGUAGCAGUGAAAUGCGUAGAGAUGUGGAGGAACACCGAUGGCGAAGGCAGCCCCCUGGGUCGACACUGACGCUCAUGCACGAAAGCGUGGGGAGCAAACAGGAUUAGAUACCCCUGUAGUC
Molecule: ribosomal RNA, 450 nt
Filed under: uncultured bacterium
Lineage: Bacteria
Description: partial 16S ribosomal RNA
Rfam family: Bacterial small subunit ribosomal RNA
Source: RNAcentral